GGAUGUGAGGGCGAUCUGGCUGCGACAUCUGUCACCCCAUUGAUCGCCAGGGUUGAUUCGGCUGAUCUGGCUGGCUAGGCGGGUGUCCCCUUCCUCCCUCACCGCUCCAUGUGCGUCCCUCCCGAAGCUGCGCGCUCGGUCGAAGAGGACGACCUUCCCCGAUAGAGGAGGACCGUUCUUCGGUCAAGGGUAUACGAGUAGCUGCGCUCCCCUGCUAGAACCUCCAAACAAGCUCCCAAGGUCCAUAAGGGUCUAAUCAGCUGUUAAACCUAUCUGUAUCAUGUUUCAGUUAUAUAAUUUUCAGAUAGGUGCUCUUCGAGUUCAUAU
Ursus americanus (American black bear) is the source of this 327-nucleotide unclassified non-coding RNA. Its record names the gene 7SK. It matches the Rfam family "7SK RNA". Rfam says of the family: 7SK was discovered as an abundant small nuclear RNA in the mid-70s but a possible function has only recently been suggested. Two independent studies have found that 7SK RNA binds the CDK9/cyclin T complex (known as elongation factor P-TEFb). Lineage: Eukaryota; Metazoa; Chordata; Mammalia; Carnivora; Ursidae. The record is from Ensembl.